ACCAGUUGCAGGAACUGAAAAAAUGUAGCAUGCUGGGGCCCGAGGAAGAGAAGGAGUAGCAGCAACAGCUGCAGGCAAGCAACGCUGAGCUGGCGGUGAGGAGCUGAAAAGCACCAUGCAAGUAAAACACAGCAAAAAGUAAAUAAAAUCAAAGACUCAGCGUCAGUAAGUCCUGUCUCUCUUAAAUCUACUGUCACCUGUUUAGCAGGAGUGGGGCCGGUGGAGGUUUGCCUGGUGCUGCAGUGGUCAUGUCAGUGGGGGGAUCUGGGAGUUUCUCUGUGAAUUUCACAUUCCUUUGGCAGCGUGCUAGGUUGUUACGUCUGUUGCUGCCAUAGACAUUAUACGCUCGUACGUCAUUGUCAUGAGACACUCUCACAAGAAAAAUCAUGGUUUAAUAACACAGUAAUGCAGCGUGCUUACGGGAAAGUAACAGUAAUCUAAUUAUUUUUUUUGCAAUAGUAAUCCCUUACUUUACUAGUUAUCUGAAAAAAGUAAUUGGAUUACAGUAACGUGUUACUAUUAACAUGUUACUGCCCAUCUCUGGUAACAAGUGGGAAUUAUCACUGCUCUGCUCUUUACUGUUGAUGCUUUUCGUUUUCUCAGUUCGUGUUCCAAAAUAAUUUGAAUCUGCUUUCAGGGAAAGCACCUCCUUCACUGAAAAGAAGCUGGUGG
This is a long non-coding RNA of Astatotilapia calliptera (eastern happy), 672 nucleotides long. Lineage: Eukaryota; Metazoa; Chordata; Actinopteri; Cichliformes; Cichlidae. The record is from Ensembl.